This 495-nucleotide non-coding RNA is filed under the name Pongo abelii (Sumatran orangutan). The record is from RNAcentral. Lineage: Eukaryota; Metazoa; Chordata; Mammalia; Primates; Hominidae.
ACCCCACCCAAAUCUCCGCACCGAGGAAGCUGGAAAACCAAACUGUGCCCCAGCAGCUCCAGGUCUCACUGAACCUGUUACUAUGGCAGCAUCUAUGCUUCACUUUUGAGGAUUGCUUCUGCUUUGAAAUAGCCAUGUGGAAGAAAAACUACAAAGUUUUGAGGGGAAAAAAACCCAUCUAACUUUAGAUGCCGUUGUGUCUUCAUCUGUAAAAAUCUUCUUCAUGUCUCAUGGAUUUCAACAUGCAGUUUAUCUUGCUUUGUUCCAUAAAACAUCAGAUGCAACUUUAAUGGCCUAACCCCAAAAAGAUAACUUGACAGCCAUCAAACAUUCAGCAGCGUUCCAAAUGCCCUCUUGCUGGAGCCAGCCUUCUACGGGGCCAUGUGGAUGUCAGGCACACACAAUUUGAGUCACGCUGACAUAGCUGGGAUGCCUGGAUUGCGCUGGAAUCUGGGGGGUACCAAUCACAGGCCAGAGAGACGCCAUUGGCUGGAA